This 254-nucleotide ribosomal RNA is filed under the name uncultured bacterium. RNAcentral describes it as "partial 16S ribosomal RNA". It matches the Rfam family "Bacterial small subunit ribosomal RNA", at positions 524 to 777 of the family's 1533-position model. The record is from RNAcentral.
UACGUAGGGUGCGAGCGUUAAUCGGAAUUACUGGGCGUAAAGAGCGCGCAGGCGGUCGUUCAAGUCGCGUGUGAAAGCCCCCGGCUCAACUGGGGAGGGUCACGCGAUACUGCUCGACUUGAAGGCAGGAGAGGGAAGUGGAAUUCCCGGUGUAGUGGUGAAAUGCGUAGAUAUCGGGAGGAACACCAGUGGCGAAGGCGACUUCCUGGCCUGUUCUUGACGCUGAGGCGCGAAAGCUAGGGGAGCAAACGGGG